This is a long non-coding RNA of Neopelma chrysocephalum (saffron-crested tyrant-manakin), 837 nucleotides long. RefSeq lists it as uncharacterized. NCBI's taxonomy places the organism in Eukaryota, Metazoa, Chordata, Aves, Passeriformes, Pipridae. The record is from RefSeq and is a predicted model, not a curated record. The transcript has 3 exons.
CCCCGGGACACCCCGCCACGGCAGCCCGGGCCCCUACCAGCCGCACCCGCCGGGAGCCAGCUGGGCCUGGCUUUAACCCCACCAAAAAGCAAUGCAAAAAAUUUGUCCCUGUUAGCUGGCCCAUAAGAGCCCACCUAGCGAGGAUCUGCCAUGGAAGUGCCAUGCUCCUUCUGCAAAAUGAGAGCUGAGCAUCAAGAGGAGACUGCUGGGCUUACUUCUGACUCAGAAACACACUGAAGGCACAAUGGUUCACGUUGAAAAUUUGCUGUUGGGAAAGGAAGAGGAGCCACAUUCCCCGCAUUAGGGCUGUCAAACUGUUUCAAGUUUGAAAUGCAGCUAUUCGAAAAGCAACUCUCUCAGGUCCCAAGGACUUCAGUGGAAGAUAUGCAGUCUUCGAUUCACGCACAGUGUCUCCCUGAGAACUGACCCCUAAGGAAAGUCCCCUGUUUAAAUUAUAAGGACAGAAGAGUACAUGUGCCACGUGAGAAAAAAAUUAUUGGAAUCCAUGGGUUCUUCAGGAAGGUUUAAAAGAGACAACUACUUUAAAAUGCAAAAUUAUCAGUCCUUUUCGCACUUUGAGCAUCACAUAUGUGCAGGUGAUUCAGAACAAUCUAUUUUGGAGACAAACUGCAUUUCUCUAAUGUCUCAUAAUCCAAGAGCAGUGAAUCUGGGGUUUUUUCCUCCAAAAAAACCCCCAGACUCUUCUUCUUCUUUUUUUUUUUUUUUUUUUUUUUCUGUAAAUUAACACUGUUUCAAUGGAAAGUUUUUCCAAAAGGAAUUUCAAGGACAAAAUUCUAAGAGAGUGAAAAUAAACCUAUGAUAGCUCUGAGAAUAAGA